This 748-nucleotide ribosomal RNA is filed under the name Kocuria flava. RNAcentral describes it as "bacterial SSU rRNA". It matches the Rfam family "Bacterial small subunit ribosomal RNA", at positions 605 to 1351 of the family's 1533-position model. Lineage: Bacteria; Bacillati; Actinomycetota; Actinomycetes; Micrococcales; Micrococcaceae. The record is from RNAcentral.
GGGCUCAACCCCGGGUCUGCAGUGGGUACGGGCAGACUAGAGUGCAGUAGGGGAGACUGGAAUUCCUGGUGUAGCGGUGAAAUGCGCAGAUAUCAGGAGGAACACCGAUGGCGAAGGCAGGUCUCUGGGCUGUUACUGACGCUGAGGAGCGAAAGCAUGGGGAGCGAACAGGAUUAGAUACCCUGGUAGUCCAUGCCGUAAACGUUGGGCACUAGGUGUGGGGGACAUUCCACGUUCUCCGCGCCGUAGCUAACGCAUUAAGUGCCCCGCCUGGGGAGUACGGCCGCAAGGCUAAAACUCAAAGGAAUUGACGGGGGCCCGCACAAGCGGCGGAGCAUGCGGAUUAAUUCGAUGCAACGCGAAGAACCUUACCAAGGCUUGACAUCCACCGGACCGCACUGGAGACAGUGCUUCCCUUCGGGGCUGGUGGACAGGUGGUGCAUGGUUGUCGUCAGCUCGUGUCGUGAGAUGUUGGGUUAAGUCCCGCAACGAGCGCAACCCUCGUUCUAUGUUGCCAGCACGUGAUGGUGGGGACUCAUAGGAGACUGCCGGGGUCAACUCGGAGGAAGGUGGGGAUGACGUCAAAUCAUCAUGCCCCUUAUGUCUUGGGCUUCACGCAUGCUACAAUGGCCGGUACAAAGGGUUGCGAUACUGUGAGGUGGAGCUAAUCCCAAAAAGCCGGUCUCAGUUCGGAUUGAGGUCUGCAACUCGACCUCAUGAAGUCGGAGUCGCUAGUAAUCGCAGAUCA